This 419-nucleotide ribosomal RNA is filed under the name uncultured Prevotella sp. RNAcentral's name for it is "bacterial SSU rRNA". It matches the Rfam family "Bacterial small subunit ribosomal RNA", at positions 358 to 774 of the family's 1533-position model. The record is from RNAcentral. Lineage: Bacteria; Pseudomonadati; Bacteroidota; Bacteroidia; Bacteroidales; Prevotellaceae.
GGAAUAUUGGUCAAUGGCCGAGAGGCUGAACCAGCCAAGUAGCGUGCAGGAAGACGGCCCUACGGGUUGUAAACUGCUUUUGCGGGAGGAUAAAGUUGCCCACGUGUGGGCAUUUGCAGGUAUCCCGUGAAUAAGGACCGGCUAAUUCCGUGCCAGCAGCCGCGGUAAUACGGAAGGUCCGGGCGUUAUCCGGAUUUAUUGGGUUUAAAGGGAGCGCAGGCUGAUUAUUAAGCGUGACGUGAAAUGUAGCCGCUCAACGGCUGAACUGCGUCGCGAACUGGUAGUCUUGAGUGAGUUCGAUGUUGGCGGAAUUCGUGGUGUAGCGGUGAAAUGCUUAGAUAUCACGAAGAACUCCGAUUGCGAAGGCAGCCAACAAGGCCUUUACUGACGCUAAAGCUCGAAGGUGCGGGUAUCGAACA